This 25-nucleotide microRNA is filed under the name Schmidtea mediterranea. RNAcentral describes it as "sme-miR-2151-5p". The record is from miRBase by way of RNAcentral. Lineage: Eukaryota; Metazoa; Platyhelminthes; Tricladida; Dugesiidae.
CAGAUCAUGUUAAGUGGAAUUUGAU